RNAcentral lists this ribosomal RNA (451 nucleotides) under uncultured bacterium. RNAcentral describes it as "partial 16S ribosomal RNA". It matches the Rfam family "Bacterial small subunit ribosomal RNA", at positions 328 to 795 of the family's 1533-position model. The record is from RNAcentral.
UGGCCAGACUCCUACGGGAGGCAGCAGUGGGGAAUAUUGCACAAUGGGGGAAACCCUGAUGCAGCAACGCCGCGUGAGUGAGGAAGUAUUUCGGUAUGUAAAGCUCUAUCAGCAGGGAAUAGAAAAGAAGGUACCUGAAAAAGAAGCCCCGGCUAACUACGUGCCAGCAGCCGCGGUAAUACGUAGGGGGCGAGCGUUAUCCGGAUUCACUGGGUGUAAAGGGAGCGUAGACGGCCAAGCAAGCCAGGGGUGAAAGCCCGGGGCCCAACCCCGGGACUGCCCUUGGAACUGCAUGGCUGGAGUGCGGGAGGGGCAGGCGGAAUUCCUGGUGUAGCGGUGAAAUGCGUAGAUAUCAGGAGGAACACCGGCGGCGAAGGCGGCCUGCUGGACUGCAACUGACGUUGAGGCCCGAAAGCGUGGGGAGCAAACAGGAUUAGAUACCCUUGUAGAC